This is a long non-coding RNA of Passer domesticus (house sparrow), 11743 nucleotides long. RefSeq lists it as uncharacterized. The transcript has 6 exons. The record is from RefSeq and is a predicted model, not a curated record. NCBI's taxonomy places the organism in Eukaryota, Metazoa, Chordata, Aves, Passeriformes, Passeridae.
GAGGCGCAGCGGGGUCUGGGGGGGCCGCUGGCGGCCCCCACCCACGAGGCUGCCCCGCGCCAGCUUCUGCAGCUCGACGGGCACCACGGCGCUGGGGCAGUGCUUCUCGAUGUAGUCCUGGAAUCCCUGCACUCCCAUGGGAGGAAACUAGUCCAGAGCACGUGCCACCAGGAGCCCGGCUCUUGGCAUCCUUGGAGUCAGGAGGUGCAGCAGAACUGAGCGCUGCCAGCUCAUGCCCAGCCACAAACACAACCCUCCCUCCCCAGUGAGAAGAAAAAGGAAAAGCACAAGGGGAAUCAAGGUGCUUCUAGAACUUAUUUAAUAUAAACUAAAAGUUUGGCCAGACAAGAAGACAAGGGAAAAUAAGUUAAAUUUAUGGAAAACAAAAUUACUCUGGAAAGCAGGUAGAUUAAGCUACACUUAAAGAGCAAUUAGUCAAAGACAUGAGGCAAGGAAAGUGUUUUUUCAUCAACCAACAGCAGAAAGCCUGCGAGAUUAAUCAAUCUUCUACUUCAGCACUGAGAUGCAAUGUGUUCCACAGUUCCUAGAUGUUGGUUGUGUAAAGGAAGGGUUAAUAGCAGUUGGUAUUAAAGUCAGUGACUCAUUAUCCAACCUGAACAGAGGCAGAUUAGGAGUGGCUCCCUCAAAGGAAGGAACUGAACAGUCAUUAGGAAGAACUAAGGAAUAACCAUGUCAGAGCAAGAACAGAGAUGAAUGUUAUCAGUUUAGUCUUGGUUCCUCUGUUAAGGAAAGUCAGUCCCACAGCAAGAUGAACAUGGACACAGACUGUGGAGCAGACUAGCCACUGGGACCUGAAAGCCUGGUGCAUCUUGCUGUGGACCUGCUGCUCCAGAACUCCCCCAUUCUUGCUGCUGUAGAAGAGCUCCCAGCCUUCACCUCACUGCCAGCAAGCACCUGCCUCAUCUGCCAACCUGCUCCUACAAACCCCACAGCUUGCACAGAGCAGCUGAGCUGAGCUGAUGUCAGGAAGGUGAAGGUCUUGUUCCCAUAUCAGGAUGAUACAUGGAAAAAGCAUGCAGAUAAAGUAUCAUUUGCCCAAGCAUGUCAUCAGAAACUGAGUUCCUAAAGCUCUUUUUCAUUAGGAGAUUUUCAAGGCCUGGUUAACCUGUGCCUGGUACUACUGAAGACAGCAAGCAUCUCACUGAAGAUUUCAGGGAGAGCAAGAGCAGACCCUGGGAGUGAAGAAACAUCAUUUGCAUUCACUUUGGUGGAUGGCUGUGUUCUAGGAGAACCUACAAACACUUCUUGAUGCUCCAGGGUACACUGAGGAGGGAGUAAAAUGAGUGAAAGAAAACAAGGUAUGUUGCCUUCUCUUUUUUCAUCCUCCUUAUAGUCCAGGUUUCCAUCUUCAGAGGAUUCCAUCAGAUGCAGCAGCUGUGAUAAGGAGCCUCCAUUAGACUGUCCUGUUCACAGUGCUGGAGAUGAAAAGUUCCCUUUUAUUUGAAGUCAAUGUACAUUACAUAAACAUAAACCCAUUCAAACUAACAGUCAUUCUGUGUCUGAAGCUAUUUGCUGUUUUCAUCUGCAGUUAUGCACAGCCAAUUUCAGUGAGGUCUUAUUCUGUACCUCAGGUUUCUAUAAGCAACAGAAAAUAACAGUUGGCUAUUUUGUCUCUGCUCGUCCUGAUUUUAAAAUACCUAAAGACCAACAUCUUCCUUUGCAGUAGACACUGGACAUUUUUGGGAAGAAAUAGAUCAAGAACUUCAAUACAAAAAAAGGCUUAGAAACAUCAACAACACCUUUCAGGAAGAAAAUCAAUAUGAGAUUAAAGAAAUUAAAUAAAAAAUUACAAAUGAAAUGCAAAGUGAUCCAACAAAGGUUGUAAAAGUCAUAAUAAAUGCUGACCAAACAACCAUCAUGGAGUCAUAAUUUAAAGGGAAGCUUCACUUUAGAGAAGAGCAGUGUUUAAAGAAAAGCUAAUUUUAUCUUUUUGAAUACUGUUAAAAUAGCUAUUAAAAGUAACAAGUUGUCAUCCAAAACACUGCAGUGCAUCUCAGAGGAGAGCUAGCACAGACUAUGAACUGGCCUCACAUGGUGAUCUAUGUCUGAUACCAUAAGAAAUACACUAUUUCAAGAGCCCAGGCAAGCUGUAUAGGUGGAGCCCUGUUCUUGCUGCAAUGAUAGUUUUGCUAGUGAUGUUGGUGAAUUGAUGUUUUCCUCUGAUUUUAGCCCAUACAAGUUUAAAUUCUGAGCUAGGAAACCCAUAGCAGUUCUACUGCAUGUAAUACCAGUGAUUUUAAAUACAUUUGCUUAGGAGGAUUACUGAAUGGAAUUUGAAAAGCGAUUUAUUAUUGGAAAUUAUUUGUACUUGUUUAUUCACCCAGUUUUCCUAACUGUGCCAUGUUAUUUUGGAUGGUAGUGCGCCUCAGCUGUACCAGGACACGAUAAACACGUAAGCCUUUGGGCAUCUGAGGUGAGUUGUUUCCCUUCCCCAUUCCAUUGGAAAAUCAACAAAAGCAAGCCUUCAACAGCACGAAUUCCAUUAUGACCCACCUUAGCAGGCACCUAAAUCCUGCAACGAUAAUUUAUCUUUGAACUCCUUAGUAGUGGUGCAUAAUUAACAAGUAAGCUGCAGGAGCAGGCAGUUGCUCUGUAUUUACCUGGUAUUUGCUGUGCAGUCGUGGUGUAAUUACGGAGAUUAUACCUGCUCUCUGGAGUAGGAGUACAUGGUGUACCUCGUUUUGUGCUAUCUCACACCAGCAAAGCAGACCCCAGCGCGACGGAGCUGAACAAAAAUUCCAUUCUGCAGCGGGUGGAAGGGAGCCGCAGGCAGGGAGGGGCACCGCGCGGGGCUUGGGUUUGGGACUGCUGCCCUGGCUGUCAGGCAGGCAGCUUGAACAUGCAGAUUCAAAGUCAGCCAGGAGGAGUUCGGGGUUUUUAGUAUAGUAACUUUCCCCUCUGAUGUAUACUAUGGUAGGUUUCUGUACUAAUUACAGGAAAUGCGUGGGAAGAAUCUACCUUCUUACAAAGUUUAAAUUUUUUAAAGUAUAUUUGAUGUUAGCACAUCCUCACUGCUUUGCCCUUUGGUAUCACAAUACCAAAUGUGAAGUUGCAGCACUUAGGUGCUGGGAAAAAAAUACCAGCAAGUGGUGAAAAGUGCAAAGAAAUAAUGCUGUGCCUCUUGAGUUGAUCGCAUUCUAUGUGAUUCAGCAUAAACUAUAAGUAAAACUAAAUUUAAAGUUUCUAUUAUAUUUGAGAUCUACAUCUAACAGGAAGGGGAAUACUGUACACAACACUUAGUGCAGAAAUUUCUGUGCCACUGCUCCAAAGCAGACUUUCUGCUCCUGAAUGCAGUAUUGCCUUCUCUAAGGAGAAUGCACAAGCCUUUCUAGAGCAUGGAUACAGCAACACUAGUUAAGCAACUCAGCAGAAGAAACAUGGAUUUAUUUGCUGUUGCCAAAGAAUAAAAUUUCACUUCAGCAGACAAUAAAACCGUCUAAGAGUUCCCUGUUCUGCUCCAGGAAAAGUAGGUAGCUUUUCUAAGUGUAAAUUAUUGUUGUUCAGCUUCAUAAUAAUUGUCCUGUCUUAAGUGACUUGAUUUCUCAGUACAGAGUUAACAGAUUCUCACUCUGAAGGGCCAGCCAUGUGACCUGACAGGGGAUGAGCUGUGCUGUAUUGAUUUCCAGCACUGCGUUAGCAGUGUUCAGCUACGUCACCAAAAUGAGAUACAAAUUACCACAAUAUAAUUAGUUCAUUUGAAUGUCUCAUGGUGAUUUCACUCUGUGCCACAGCCAGGGCUCUUGUGGUUUUUAUGGGAUCUGUUGACCUUGGCAAGGCGGGUGGGGCUCCCCCAUCCCCUCCUGGCUGGGCUGCAUCUGGCACCCAGCUUGGUGCAAACCUAAAACUGACUUUUGAACCUUGGGUUCAGGAAACUUUGAUGCUUAACAUCAAUAACUUAUUUCUGUCACAAACUACAUUAUCUGAGGAGUUGUUCAUGAGCAGCGAGAGUUAAUAUUUCAGUCCAUCUCAGAUGGUGCUGCUUAAGGACAUGAACACAGUGCACUAAAUCUUUUCUGUACUGACAGAUUUAAAAAUCAUUUCAGAAGAAGUUAGAGAGCAAAAAUAAAAUAAAACUUCUUUUCCAAAAUUCAUAUUUGAAAAAAUGGUAAUUGGUUUCUCACUAGCAGUAUUUCUAUGCGGAGUUUUUUAUUGUUUUUAAAUUAAAAAAUAUUUUAAAUAAAAGUCUUUUAUUCUUAAAUAAAAUCUUCCUGUUUUCAUAGUGGACAGUAAGGAACAAUGGAAGAGAUGCCCCUCUGUGUCCCAUUUACAAUCACAAACAUCAUCGUCCAUGAAUUCCAUGACUUUUUCAUUUCCAUUUUUCCUACUUAACAUCACAGAGUGCUGGGGUGGCAGCUGCAGCAGCUGUUUACUCUAGCUGGAACGCCAGCAAAGCAUUUCCCUGGCACACCAACCAGAGCCAGGCCUGUAUUUUACAAGCUCCUUAAAGGAAACAUUUCAGGCCAACUGUGAGACUUGGAUUUGGAAUUCUAAACCUCCUUGGCUCUGGUGUACCACAGCACUCAGGCUUUGACUUUUACCUCCUUUUCCAUAUUGUCAGAGUCACUCCAAUGCUUUAUUUUGUGAGAGGAUGCAAGGUACCCAACCCAGCUUCCAUUGAAAAGUGCAAUCAUUCCUUUGAACUUUUCUCUUAAAAGACAGUGUUUUACCGUCUGAGAAGGGCACUUGCCUCCAUCUAAAAAAUGGAGAAAGAAGAACUUUGCACUGAGUCCAGCAUGGUCCUGAUCAGACUCCUCAGUUGGAGUUCCAAUACAGCCUUGUUUUUCAUUCAAGCAUUACAACAACCAGGAGAAUAUUUCCAUUAUUUCUAGGAACGAAGUAAUUUUUAAAUGGUGAAAGUGUGCAUAAUUUCAAUUGUUCUCACGGAGAAUACUCAAGACUAGCUCUUUUGAUGUUUUGUUCACAGAAAUAGACAUGUCAUGCAAGUGUAUAUAUACAAUGAAUGGACGUGGGACAAAUGUUUGAAGACCUAUUGCAACAAGUUGCUCACAAAUGAUCUACAGCAAGAGUUACUUCCAGAAUGGUUACUGAACAUGUGUUUGGAAAAAAGAUAUUUAAGCAAAUCAAUCUGCUUGUGGACAAAUAAUAAAAAGAGAAAAAGGAAAAAUUCCUCUAACAAAUAUGAAACUGCAAAUUAUUCACUCAGUUCAGUUGGCAACAACCAACUUUUGUGGUAGUAGGAGCUCAUAGAGUAGGAGGUAACUGUGUGAAGAAUGAUUGGUUUGGUAUCUUAUAUUGCAAUUCUGGAAGGGCUUAAAUUUCUAAUUUAAAAGCUAUCUUCCUUCUUUUACCCAGUAAAGGAAACAAAAUGAUAGUUGAUUUCUGUGAGCUUUUUUGGGCAGAUAGGAUCUAUUUUAUGUCCUCUAGACACUGACAACAGCUAGCUCAUAAGAAAGAGCAGUUAUUUAUUAGAAAAGAUCUCUCUUGCCAGGAAAAAACCCCAAAGCCUGCCUAAGGAAGGAUAUUGCCAUCACAAUCCUCUUUGCAUCUUCCUAGGAAAGACGUAAUGGGUCUGAACUUGGUGCAUCUUUGAGUUGUGGAGCCUUGUGUAAGCUGCACCUCCACAGCCCGUUUUUCAGUACAAGCACUGAUUUACUUCCCUCUUGGAAGAAUAUAAAGCUCAUCUGGGACAUCUCUGAGCUAAGAGCACCUUUUGCUUCUCCUUCCCCAUUCCUGGGAUGAAGCCAGCCACCUUUUGGUGAGAGGCUCUGGGAUGCUGCAGUGGGAUGCCAGCAGAAUUGUCUUCUUCUCCAAAGUGACUAUAGCUUGCUCUGUUUAUACCUGUGGAGUGGUGGAUGAGAGUUUAGCAUUCAACUCUUCUCAACUCCUUACGCGCAUAUUCUUGAUUGAAUAUGUAACUCCUAAUUUAUUCACGAGCAGGCACAUGCUCUCUUCCAAGGCAUGGCAGAUGCGAGGGAGCACACUGCAUCCCUACUGCUUUACUUCACAAAACCUAAAAAUGCUAAAGCCAUAAAUAGGCAUUAUACCACAAUCUUUGGCUGAACGAUCUCCAAUGUUACUGCAGAUCUUAGUCAUAGUGAAAGCUUUUACAAGCUACUUUGAGCUAAUGGCAAAAUAGUUUUCCUUUAAAGCAGUGAUGUGUUCCUUUCCACAAAUGCUAAUUGCUAUGAUUGUAUUGUAAGUUCUGGGCUUCGUUACACUGAGCUUUAGUUAGCUUGUUAUAACUUUACCCUAACCAUUGACCAGAGAUUAAUUUUACCCUUUCUGUGGUUUUAGAGAGAAAGAUACAGGGACUGAGACUCUUUCAUGUCACCAAAGUCAGCAAUGGUAAAAAGGUGCGUUUCUGCAAGAAUGUUCUAGGCAACCUCCUCAGCCACAGAAGGAUGUGCUGCAGAAGCUGAUGUUCAUGAGCUAUUUCACCAGCCCACUAGGAUACAAGAUGAGGAUAUCUGCAUCCAGCUGAGCUGUGCCAAAACUACCUUGUCUUCCUGCCUCUUAUACCUUUCUUUUCAUGCUGCAAAUCCAUGUUAGUUUCAAGACUGCUUGAAAUGUCUGUGGCUGGCAAUGCCAGCCCAUGACUGGUGAACAUCCUACCCACUGCUGGUGCUUUAGGAGUCCUUUUGGCAGGACCUGCCUCCUUGGGACAGGAGCUGGAGCAUACGGUAGCUCAUCACCUCAUUGUCAGAGCACAGCUGAUAUGUUGGUGGACUAACUUCAACAAUUUCACUGCAAGAGAGCUUUAAUUCUGACUCUUGCAAGAAUAUAGACAAAUUUCUCAGUCUGCUUCAGUCUAUGAAUUGCAGAUACAUAUAUAGGUUGUUUGAUCCUGGAUAAAAACCCAUCACUGCCCUCUCUCUUUUACCUUCCCCAUUCCCUGCAAUUUGGGAACGUUUGCCUAGAAAGGGUAAGAAAACAUUCAGCUGCUGCAGAUCCUCCUAAACACACCAGCUUUUUUUUUGUUUGUUUGUUUGUUUGUUUAAUUUGCUACAUAUGACUAAUUCCACUGAGUUUCUGCCAGGGAGAAUUUGCAACUCAAAGUACCCCAUGAGUGUGCUACAACACUGCCAAGAAUUGAAUACCACCAGUCUUCAUAAUUGCUGUUUUUCCAAAGAUCAGGUAUAGCAGAGGCUAUUUUGGGCUAUAAAUGGAAAUCAGAAAAUGGGAUUUUCUUUCCCUAUUAGUUCCUCUCCUGGGAAUUUUAGUCCUUUUCUCUGUGCACAUGCUUUGGUUGUUGGUAUAUUGGUAAUGUGGGUCUCUCAGAGCAUCCGUCACUGGAGCCUGUUCUGAAGCACUGCAAUGCCAGUGAACAUGGGAAAUCAUUCCCACUAGUACCAAUGUGCAGAUUGUUGAUAUAAUAUCAUGUAUUAGACCAAAACCAAAUCAGAAUAGCCUAAUUUACCCCAUGAUUCUGGUGACAGGUGAUUCAAAAGUAAGGUUUACAAAAUAAGUAAAGGUAUUUCCCAGCUACCUGUACUUCCUUUCCUAAUAGUGGCAAUCCAUUUGCAACACUCAGUUUUGCAGAUUGCCUGUUACCUCCUGUGGAUGAUCAAAGUCCAAUCAUGAAUGCAGGCACUCUGGACUUGCAGUCCUGUCAAUAUCAGGGAUGUCUGGCCUUGCCUUCAGUUUACAGCACAGACAUUGCCAUCUUAAUCACCCAUAUCAUAUAGAUCUAAUGCAAGAUCUUUGCAUGGCCUUUAAAUCUGAGAAGUUCCAAUUAUCAUUCUUUUAUCAUCAAUUCUUCUGUCAUCAUUUCUAUCAUUCUUCAUGAAUUACGCAUUUUUCUUUUUUUCUGGAAAAAGCUUUGCAUUAUUAGGAGUUCAAGAGAUUAGGUUUUGCUACAGCAACAUGCAGAUCUCAGAACUUGAGAACAAACCCUUAGCAUCAUAUGCACUUUUCUGUUGCCCCUAAUGGUAAUGAGAAGCAUUUUCUGGGCUAGAAAAUACCCUCGUUAGUUCAUGACAGGGUAAUUCUAGGCCUGUAUGCCCUUGUUUGAUUAAAUGGUCCUUUGAUAGGGUCAAAAAAUAAUUAUCCUUUGAUAUUUUAGUCAAUUGUAGUACUACUGAGAGGCACUCUUUUCCUGCCUAUAGAAAUAAAGAACCCAUUUAACCUUGGAAAAACAUGAUUCAUGCUAUUUUCUUCAUAUAAGGAAAAGGAGUGGGCUUUUUUUGGGUACAAACCUAUUCAGUGAGAGAUAUCUUAGUGUCCUGGGGUGACUUUAUGAUGCUUGUAUCCCCAUUUGUUGGUUUAGCCCAGAAAUAAGUUUUGCACCCUUAGGUCUGGUUCCAAGAGUGAAGGGGGGACAAGAAGAAUCGUGGAGUUUGUUAUCAGAAACUGCUCUUGCACCUCUGCAUCCUUCUCCUGCACUGUGUUGUCUGCGGCAAGGACAGACAGCAGGAUAGAGGUCUGCUUUGAUUUUUAGUUAGUUUUAGCUAGCUAAGGCAGAGAAUUUCUCUGGACUGUGGUUUUUCUUUUUUUGUGGAACUGUUUAGACCUCCUCUGGACUGAAAACCCAGAAGAGCACCAGCAGCUCACUGCUGUGGCCCACUGGGCUGGGCCAGGCUUGCAGCAUUUCCAGUGCCAGAGGGACUGAUAAGAGAAUGAGUUAGGAGAGCUAUAGCCCACGAAGGUGACUGUCUGAGCAUGUCAUCUCUUCUAAGUGGCAAGAGGUUUUAGUGUUUGAUAUUGUUCAUUUCUUUGUGCUGGUGAAUAUUUUGCCUGUUAAAUAAAAAAAAAUUUCCCACUUUCCUCCAAAGAAAUCUUUUGCCGAACUAGUUAAAGGAAGGGCUGCUUAAAUCUGCUUUCUAGAGGAGCCCCUUUGGAGGUUUUCUCACAAAUUUGCCCUAAACCAAGACACUUAGUCAACAGGGGUCAGCUCUGGCACUGAGAGAAGAUGAAAAAAUUUGAGACAAUAUGUGAAAAAACCCCGGAUGGCUUUAACUAAAUUAAUAGAAAAUGUAUUUUGUCUUUUAUCCAGCCAUCACAUGAUAAUCCUGACAUCCCAAACUUUUGUCACAGUCAUAUGCUCUCAUUUUCGUAGUCUUCCACUUUGCUUUGUCAUUUACAGCAUUCAUGUCCUUGACUUCAAGCAACCUGAUGCUGUUCACUAGUUACUUGAUUUGAUAUUAAAAUAUUAUUAAAAUUGAAAAAAAAUUUAGAAAUUUGGAGAAGUGUGACUCAGUAAAAAUUCUGAGAGUACAGUGAAAGAUGUAAAGUGACUGAACUCUUGGAUUUACUUUGAAGAGGUCCUGUCCCCCUGUGUCUCUCCUUGCCCACCACCAACUGCAGCCACCCUUGUUGAUGCUGCUUCCUCUGCAUCUUUCACUUGGAGGCUCCUUUUUUUUUACAUGAUUUAUGAAGAUAUCUUCAUCCUCAGCUCUCUCUAGUCCUCCUUCAGAAACAGCUGGAGACCCAGCAAUUACCUGUGCCUCCUUGCUCUAUCACCCAGCUCAAAGCCUUUAGACCAUUGAUGUUAACAGCUGACCCCCAUUCUUUAAUUCCACAGUUUUCUCUGUAAAGCCCCUUGUCCCAGCACUUCUUUCUCCUUGAGCCAUUGUGGUUCCUCAGAAUUAGAGGUGCCAUGGUUUAGCUGAGGUGUUAGGGAACGGGUUGGACUCAAUGGUCUUGAAGGUCUCUUCCAACCUUGUGAUUCUGUAAAAAAAGAAAACAACCAAGCAAACAAACCAAAAAUAAAACAAAAACAACAACAACAAAAAAACCCAAACAAAAAAAAAACCCAAACAAACAAAAAAAACCCAAAAACCCCAGUGAACAGAUGACAGCUGUGAGGACACACAGCUCUCAGCCAGCAGCAUCCUGACCUACAGCAGUGUCUGUAUUCAGUAACCACUGAAGCUGCAAAGUUAUGCCUAACAGCUGGCAGCUACAGGUCCAUUCCUGUAUUUGCAGCAUCCACCAGGUGCUUGAUUCCAUUGAUGAUCCUAUAGGCUAUCAGGGAGAGUUUGUAUCAGGAUAUGCAUCAGAAAAGCAGCUUUUCUCAGAAUAGGAAUCAAGAUCAGGAGGCAGAAACCCUCACUUCAUAAACAGGGCUUAAAUCUGAACAAGAAGUGUGGGCUAAUCUAUCUGCCAGUCCUCUCCUGCUAGAGCUAUGCUGCUUGAACAAGGAAUACUCUGGUUUUGUUAUUCAUGUUUUCUUAUAUUGCCCCAUGCCUACAUGUCCCAUAUGCUGUGUAGGCACAAAAGAGCCAGUCAUCCUUGUGCAGAACAUCUGCAAUACUAAAUCAUGAUCCUUAUGUCCUGCUUUCUCAGCCUUCAACCAGAGGUUAUUUUUCAUCACCAGUCUAAAAGGGCUCAGAAGAAAUCUCUUUUUGGUUUAAAUAAUUAACUACUUUGACCUGGAUAUUCUGAGAGGCCCCACUAAUCUCAGCCUUCACAGCAGUUUCUAAAAUAAAGUAAAAGCAAUAGAAUAAUAUGAAAUAACAUGACAAUAAUGAAAUGAAAUAAAGUAAAUUAGUCUAAGUCACCAUUAGUUUUAUGAUCGAGCUCUUCUGCUGCAUGCACAGCUCCGCUUGGGAUCAGACCUGUGCUUCUCCAUCCUGUUUGGUUUGUGCCCGAGGCAAUGUCAAGACAACAGUUUAUUUCAGCUGAGAAUUUGAUGCCAGGCUAUUCUGGGACUGAGUAAAAUUUGUUCUCCAUAAUUACUUUACAAUCAGUGAAGAGCUCUUUCUAAGAGCAGCCUGAUGCUUUACACAUAUGCUUUAAAUAUUCUGGGCUUGUACUGCGUAACAGCCAGAAAGGACAAUGGCCUGGAGAGUGCAGGGUGUUCACUUGAGAGGCCAUCAUCUUCUCAAAAGUGCUAUGGCUGUGACAGAACGGGCAGAAAUAGACCAUUUAACCAGUCCUGAGACUGCUAACAGGGGGUGAAAGAAGUCCACAGGAGAACUGGAAAGUUUACGAUGUGUGAUAACACAUCACUCUCUAGUUCUACGUGGAAUUUUAUUCAAAAAUAUAUGUACUUUAAUAAAUGAAAUAUCAGCCUGUGAUUUUAUUUCUCUGUUGCAGAAAGAAGGCGAAUAUACCGUUUAUUGGGAUCCUCUGGGUGUGCAGGCACUGCCUACAGUGUGUUUAACCGCGCCUCGGCAGGGCCAACACGGGCGGGCCCAGGCAGGGAGCGGGACAGGGAGGGCACAGCUGCCACCCCCUGCGCUGUCACCAGACACUGAGUAGUGUCCCUUGGUGUCACCUGGCACCGAGCACGUGUCCCAGCACCUCCCUCAGCCACAGGUUAGACAGUCAGCUGUUAGACACCCCUGCUCUCCACCUAGCACUGGGUGCGAGAUGAUUGCACAGAUCCUGAGGUAGAGGAAGGGACAGCGGGGUGACACAGCCGAGGUCCCAACAUCUGCCUGCAGCUGGGCAAGAGGUGUCAUGGACACAAAGGGUCUCUGCUUACCUGCCCCAGACAUGGCAGCACCAUGCCCUGCAGGAAGAGUCUGGGCUCCUGCCUGUGACAUGUGCACCCGUCGGGCUGGGCUCCUGGUGUGCCAGUGCCCAGACACCCAUCUGGUCGGUGGCACUUGCUGGUGAUCCCUGGCAUGUGUCCCACAUCCAUGCACGUAGCAGGACACCAGGACCAGCUCUUGGCACCCUCUGGCAAGGCUGAGAUCUGCAAGUGACAAGUUCCACCCCAGCUCUGACCUUGCCUGUACUGUGAGACACUGGACAGCACCACGAGCCAGACCCCAGGAUUUUAAUGGCACUUAGCAAAUCUCACUUGCAUCUUGGU